This 401-nucleotide ribosomal RNA is filed under the name uncultured bacterium. Its description in RNAcentral is "bacterial SSU rRNA". It matches the Rfam family "Bacterial small subunit ribosomal RNA", at positions 359 to 776 of the family's 1533-position model. The record is from RNAcentral.
GAAUAUUGCGCAAUGGGGGAAACCCUGACGCAGCAAUUCCGCGUGGAGGAUGACGGUUUUUGGACUGUAAACUCCUGUCAGCAGGGAAGCGAAUGGACGGUACCUGCAGAGGAAGCACCGGCUAACUACGUGCCAGCAGCCGCGGUAAUACGUAGGGUGCGAGCGUUGUCCGGAAUCAUUGGGCGUAAAGCGUCCGUAGGCGGUUUGGCAAGUCAUUGGUUAAAGGCACCUGCUCAACGGGUGUAUGGUUAAUGAAACUGUCAGACUUGAGUUUGGUAGAGGUUGCUGGAAUUCCUGGUGUAGCGGUGAAAUGCGUAGAUAUCAGGAGGAACACCUGUGGCGAAAGCGUGCAACUGGGCCUAAACUGACGCUAAUGGACGAAAGCCAGGGUAGCGAAAGGG